GACGAACGCUGGCGGCGUGCUUAACACAUGCAAGUCGAACGGAAAGGCCCUGCUUUUGUGGGGUGCUCGAGUGGCGAACGGGUGAGUAACACGUGAGUAACCUGCCCUUGACUUUGGGAUAACUUCAGGAAACUGGGGCUAAUACCGGAUAGUAGCUCCUGCUGCAUGGUGGGGGUUGGAAAGUUUCGGCGGUUGGGGAUGGACUCGCGGCUUAUCAGCUUGUUGGUGGGGUAGUGGCUUACCAAGGCUUUGACGGGUAGCCGGCCUGAGAGGGUGACCGGCCACAUUGGGACUGAGAUGCGGCCCAGACUCCUACGGGAGGCAGCAGUGGGGAAUAUUGCACAAUGGGCGGAAGCCUGAUGCAGCAACGCCGCGUGCGGGAUGACGGCCUUCGGGUUGUAAACCGCUUUCGCCUGUGACGAAGCGUGAGUGACGGUAAUGGGUAAAGAAGCACCGGCUAACUACGUG
RNAcentral lists this ribosomal RNA (468 nucleotides) under uncultured bacterium. RNAcentral's name for it is "partial 16S ribosomal RNA". It matches the Rfam family "Bacterial small subunit ribosomal RNA", at positions 28 to 507 of the family's 1533-position model. The record is from RNAcentral.